Molecule: ribosomal RNA, 312 nt
Filed under: Triticum aestivum (bread wheat)
Lineage: Eukaryota; Viridiplantae; Streptophyta; Magnoliopsida; Poales; Poaceae
Description: partial small subunit ribosomal RNA
Source: RNAcentral
AUGCUUAGGAAAAUGUUCCAAGGGGGUUCUUCAAAGAAGCAAGGGCCCAGGCUCGCAAUGCGUGAUGCUGACGAAGAGCCACCAAGAGACGCUCCAGUGCAUCCUUGUGAGUGGCCUUCUGAAAAUUUUAUGAAUCAAGUAGGAAUAAAAGAAGAAUUCAACGCAUAUUUGCGUAAUGCUGGUCUCGUGAGCUUCGAGGAAGAGAAGUGCAGUCAGUAUCAUGAGCUCACUAGCUCCUUUGUGAGGAGGAGGUUUGAAUUUUCAACUUCACGCAAGAGGAGGAUAUACUAUUACCAGAGAGGAGGCAGAUGA